UUCAGUUUUGGUCUAAGGAUUUUCUCAGCAGCUGCAGCGUGAGAAGUUGAUUUCACCACAGCAGUCAGUCAGUCCUACGUUGCUCUUGGCAGCAGCUCGGCUUCGGCACAGAAACAGCAGCAUCAUCUGGUCUGUGUGUUGUGGGUGGACGUGACCUGUGACUCUGCACUGAAAACAUGAGCUACAGCAGCAGCACAUGAAAACACCACAUCACUGCGAAGUGAUAUGACCGUUUACAGUGGUGGGGUGAGUUGCAGAGCAGGUCGUCUUCGUUAGCCAGAUAAAUUAAGCUGGAAAGCCUCUGAAUCGGCCUUCUGACCUCGGUGGCGAGGUCAGCAGUGUGGAGAGAACAAGGGAUCUGUUUUAGCAUUCACUGGACUCUGUGGUUAAUGUAAUACUGAUUCAUUUGUGACUGUACAAGCUAAAAAAGUUUUCUUGGUGUCAGUUCU
Molecule: long non-coding RNA, 449 nt
Organism: Pygocentrus nattereri (red-bellied piranha)
Lineage: Eukaryota; Metazoa; Chordata; Actinopteri; Characiformes; Serrasalmidae
Source: Ensembl